UGUGUUGUGGAGUAGAAAUGGCAACAGUGUGCUUCCUGGCCUUUUUCUUAGUAGCAGAGAAAAAGCUUUCCAGAUUUCACACACGAAGUAUGAUGUUUGUUUUAGGAGUCUCUUUGUAAGUACUUUUGAAUCUUAAGGAUGUUUUCUUCUGUUUCUGCUCUGCGAUGCUGUUUUAACUGUGAUUGGCUGUUAAACUUCGUCGGAUGCUUUUCCUGCAUUACUUGAUCAUAGAAUUUUUAUGUUUUUCUGUUAAUGUGUGACUUACUGACUUCAAAUGUUGACACUGUCUUCCAUUUCUGGAAUUAAACUGCUUUGAUUAUGAUAUUGGUUAUAUGGAUAAAUAUUUCUGGUCUUGGUUUGCUAUUUUUUAAAGACAGUUUUGCAUUUGUAUUUGUAAUUUUUCUGGAUUUUGCAUGCCAUUUUCCUUGUGAUUUUUUUUUUUUUUGGUGACCUACAAUUUUCUUUUCUUGUAAUGCCCUGUAAGUUACCGGUAUUGACCACCACCCCUUUACUAACAGAGCAGCUGUAAAUCAGGAAGAGGGUAAUGCCCAUGCAGCCCUGCUAGCUUCCAUCUCUCCACCAGAGAAUGUUAGCGAGCUGGGGGAGGUACUAGCUGAUGGAUCCAUUGGCAGGAAAUGUAAUAGCCAUUCAGGUUUUUGUAACCAAUGUUGUGCUGGUCUCAUAGAGUGAGUAGGAGAAUGUUUCUUCCUAUUCUUUUCUUGGAAGGGUGUGUAUAAGAUUGGUAAAAUUUGCCAUGUAAGCUCUCCGCAGGCCCCACCCAGGCGGCUGCCCGUGACCUGCCUGGGCGCAGGGAACGGAAAGCCGGAGGGGGCAAGAUGAGUUCAAUUUGCCAUGGGGCUGUUGGUUAAAACCCAGGAGAAGCCACCAAAAGAACUGGCCAAUGAAUGGUCAUUGAAGAUAAGAAAGGAAAUGAGAGUUGUUGACAGGCAAAUAAAGGAUAUCCAAAGAGAAGAAGAAAAAGUGAAAUGAUCUGUGAAAGAUGCAGUCAAGAAGGGCCAGAAGGAAAUGUGCACGGUUCUGGCCAGGGAGAUGAUCAGGUCAGGGAAGGCCGCGAGCAAGCUGUAUGCAUCCAAAGUGCCCAUGAACUCAGUGCUCAUGGGGAUGAGGAACCAGCUUGCGGUCUUGCGAGUGGCUGGUUCCCUGUAGAAGAGCACAGAAGUAAUGAGGGCCAUGCAGAGUCUUGUGAAGAUUCCAGAAAUUCAGGCCACCAUGAGGGAGCUGUCCAAAGAAAUGAUGAAGGCUGGGAUCAUAGAGGAGAUGUUAGAGGACACUUUCGAAAGCGUGGACGACCAGGAAGAAAUGGAGGAAGAAGCAGAAAUGGAAAUUGACAAAAUUCUAUUUGAAAUUACAGCAGGGGCCUUGGGCAAAGCACCCAGUAAAGUGACUGAUGCUCUUCCAGAGCCAGAACCUUCAGGAGCGAUGGCUGCCCCAGAGGAUGAGGAGGAGGAAGAAGCUCUGGGGGCCAUGCAGUCCCGGCUGGCCACACUCCACAGCUAGGGGCGGCCCACCUGCUGGGUGUGCACGCACUCCUCUGAAGAGCUGCCAUUUUAUGUAUUUCUUGGAUUACACCUCUCUUGUGAGGACUACCAUUUUGUAGAAGAUUCUGUUUGUCUCUUUUCACUCUCUGCCCAGGUUUUGGGAUCUUAAAGAGGUUGUUCUUAUAAAGGUUGUGUCAAUAAAUGCAUCAUUUUUAGGAGUAUAGAGAGAAAUGUCUUAUUGUGGGAAGGGGAAAGAAAUCCAUCUUCUCAUAAAGCACUUCUGAAAAUACAGGUGAUUGCCUGAAUGUUGAAGACUCUACUUUUGUCUAUAAAACACUGUAUAAAUGAAUUUUAAUA
Molecule: non-coding RNA, 1856 nt
Organism: Callithrix jacchus (white-tufted-ear marmoset)
Lineage: Eukaryota; Metazoa; Chordata; Mammalia; Primates; Cebidae
Source: RefSeq, a predicted model, not a curated record